RNAcentral lists this RNase P RNA (316 nucleotides) under bovine gut metagenome. RNAcentral's name for it is "Bacterial RNase P class A". It matches the Rfam family "Bacterial RNase P class A", at positions 26 to 354 of the family's 367-position model. From Rfam's summary of the family: Ribonuclease P (RNase P) is a ubiquitous endoribonuclease, found in archaea, bacteria and eukarya as well as chloroplasts and mitochondria. Its best characterised activity is the generation of mature 5'-ends of tRNAs by cleaving the 5'-leader elements of precursor-tRNAs. The record is from RNAcentral.
GAGCGCCGAAAGGCCCUGCGUGAGGAAAGUCCGGGCUCCACAGGGCAAGGAUAACGGGUAACACCCGCCGGGGGCGACCCCAGGAAAAGUGCAACAGAGAGAUACCGCCGCGUUUUUCGCGGUAAGGGUGGAAAGGCGAGGUAAGAGCUCACCCGCCACAUGGGAACAUCGUGGCGCUGUAAACUCUAUCCGGAGCAACACCGUGGAGGAAACGCAAGGCCGGCCCGGCUGUUUCCGAGGAGGUGGCUUGAGCGCCGCGGCAACGCGGCGCCUAGACAGAUGGCUGUCACGACAGAACCCGGCUUACAGGACCGAU